This 253-nucleotide ribosomal RNA is filed under the name uncultured bacterium. Its description in RNAcentral is "partial 16S ribosomal RNA". It matches the Rfam family "Bacterial small subunit ribosomal RNA", at positions 524 to 776 of the family's 1533-position model. The record is from RNAcentral.
UACGUAGGUGGCAAGCGUUACUCGGAAUCACUAGGCGUAAAGCGCAGGUAGGCGGUUCGGUAAGUCUUUUGUGAAAGCUCCCGGCUCAACUGGGAGAGGUCAAGGGAAACUACCGGGCUAGAGUGUGGCAGAGGAAGCUGGAAUUCCCGGUGUAGCGGCGAAAUGCGUAGAGAUCGGGAGGAAUACCUAUGGCGAAAGCAGGCUUCUGGGCCGUCACUGACGCUGAUCUGCGAAAGCUAGGGGAGCAAACAGG